UACGGAGGGUGCAAGCAUUGAUCGGAAUUACUGGGCGUAAAGGGCGCGUAGGCGGCUCGGCAAGUCAGAUGUGAAAUUCCACGGCUCAACUGUGGAGCUGCAUUUGAAACUACCAAGCUAGAGCAUAGAUAGGGAAAACGGAAUUCCACGUGUAGCGGUAAAAUGCGUAGAUAUGUGGAAGAACACCGGUGGUGAAGACGGUUUUCUGGACUAUUGCUGACGCUGAGGCGCGAAAGCUAGGGGAGCAAACAGG
This 253-nucleotide ribosomal RNA is filed under the name uncultured bacterium. Its description in RNAcentral is "partial 16S ribosomal RNA". It matches the Rfam family "Bacterial small subunit ribosomal RNA", at positions 524 to 776 of the family's 1533-position model. The record is from RNAcentral.